UCAAAGGCCGCCGGCAAUUUAAUGCCAUGCUUGCGUAGUUUGACAGCAUCGAGCUUGGCGACGUGCUGGUUCACUACAUCAAGUGCGCGCUUCAACGACUGUCGGCACACCCAAACAUCUGGCGAGGCAAUCAGGAGCUUCGCGUACAACGACCGCUCGCUGAUGUGCUCGGUGACCGUCGGGCCUAUCCUGAUGAAAUGGAGAAACAGAUAAAGCGAUGUUGCAACCCGUGAUCGGGUGGGUAAUGGGAGCGGAAUUUUCCUGAACUGGUUAUUUAGCCA
RNAcentral lists this unclassified non-coding RNA (281 nucleotides) under Hevea brasiliensis (rubber tree). The record is from RNAcentral. Lineage: Eukaryota; Viridiplantae; Streptophyta; Magnoliopsida; Malpighiales; Euphorbiaceae.